RNAcentral lists this ribosomal RNA (364 nucleotides) under uncultured Anoxybacillus sp. RNAcentral's name for it is "bacterial SSU rRNA". It matches the Rfam family "Bacterial small subunit ribosomal RNA", at positions 1014 to 1382 of the family's 1533-position model. The record is from RNAcentral. Lineage: Bacteria; Bacillati; Bacillota; Bacilli; Caryophanales; Anoxybacillaceae.
GUUCGGGGGGACAGGGUGACAGGUGGUGCAUGGUUGUCGUCAGCUCGUGUCGUGAGAUGUUGGGUUAAGUCCCGCAACGAGCGCAACCCUCGACCUUAGUUGCCAGCAUUCAGUUGGGCACUCUAAGGUAACUGCCGGCUAAAAGUCGGAGGAAGUGGGGAUGACGUCAAAUCAUCAUGCCCCUUAUGACCUGGGCUACACACGUGCUACAAUGGGCGGUACAAAGGGUCGCGAACCCGCGAGGGGGAGCCAAUCCCAAAAAGCCGCUCUCAGUUCGGAUUGCAGGCUGCAACUCGCCUGCAUGAAGCCGGAAUCGCUAGUAAUCGCGGAUCAGCAUGCCGCGGUGAAUACGUUCCCGGGCCUU